GCGGACGGGUGAGUAACACGUGGGUAACCUGCCUCAUAGAGGGGAAUAGCCUUUCGAAAGGAAGAUUAAUACCGCAUAAGAUUGUAGUACCGCAUGGUACAGCAAUUAAAGGAGUAAUCCGCUAUGAGAUGGACCCGCGUCGCAUUAGCUAGUUGGUGAGGUAACGGCCCACCAAGGCGACGAUCCAUAGCCGACCUGAGAGGGUGACCGGCCACAUUGGGACUGAGACACGGCCCAGACUCCUACGGGAGGCAGCAGUGGGGAAUAUUGCACAAUGGGCGAAAGCCUGAUGCAGCGACGCCGCGUGAGCGAAGAAGUAUUUCGGUAUGUAAAGCUCUAUCAGCAGGGAAGAAAAUGACGGUACCUGACUAAGAAGCUCCGGCUAAAUACGUGCCAGCAGCCGCGGUAAUACGUAUGGAGCAAGCGUUAUCCGGAUUUACUGGGUGUAAAGGGAGCGUAGACGGCUUAGCAAGUCUGAUGUGAAAGGCUGGGGCUCAACCCCGGGACUGCAUUGGAAACUGUUAAGCUAGAGUGCCGGAGAGGUAAGCGGAAUUCCUAGUGUAGCGGUGAAAUGCGUAGAUAUUAGGAGGAACACCAGUGGCGAA
This 605-nucleotide ribosomal RNA is filed under the name uncultured Lachnospiraceae bacterium. RNAcentral's name for it is "bacterial SSU rRNA". It matches the Rfam family "Bacterial small subunit ribosomal RNA", at positions 98 to 719 of the family's 1533-position model. Lineage: Bacteria; Bacillati; Bacillota; Clostridia; Lachnospirales; Lachnospiraceae. The record is from RNAcentral.